This 253-nucleotide ribosomal RNA is filed under the name uncultured bacterium. RNAcentral describes it as "partial 16S ribosomal RNA". It matches the Rfam family "Bacterial small subunit ribosomal RNA", at positions 524 to 776 of the family's 1533-position model. The record is from RNAcentral.
UACGUAGGGGGCAAGCGUUGUCCGGAAUCAUUGGGCGUAAAGAGCGUGUAGGCGGCCCGGUAAGUCCGCUGUGAAAGUCCAGGGCUCAACCCUGGGAUGCCGGUGGAUACUGUCGGGCUCGAGUCCGGAAGAGGAGUGUGGAAUUCCUGGUGUAGCGGUGAAAUGCGUAGAUAUCAGGAGGAACACCGGCGGUGUAGACGGCUUGCUAGACCACCCCUGACGCUGAGGCACGAAAGCGUGGGUAGCAAACAGG